Molecule: non-coding RNA, 180 nt
Organism: Snodgrassella alvi wkB2
Lineage: Bacteria; Pseudomonadati; Pseudomonadota; Betaproteobacteria; Neisseriales; Neisseriaceae
Source: Rfam
CUUCCCCUGCGGUGUUCGUAAGGACAUAUAUUCCUUUGAACCAAUAAUUCGCUUUUUUGGCGGUUGGGUAAUGGUGGGCGUGAGCAUUCCCUGUGAAUGAACCCGAAGCCAUUCGAUACUGCCAGCCUUGUCCUCAAGGUUCAAGCGGAUGGCGUCCAAACCGGCACCUGCGGGGGAAAC